Non-coding RNA from Bombyx mori (domestic silkworm), 84 nucleotides. NCBI's taxonomy places the organism in Eukaryota, Metazoa, Arthropoda, Insecta, Lepidoptera, Bombycidae. The record is from Rfam.
UUAACUCAAAUUUGUAUGGAGUUGGAACGUUUUCCUAUGUUUGCCGAUAGGGGCGCUGUUCCAACUGCAUACCAAUUUUAGUUU